Molecule: ribosomal RNA, 466 nt
Filed under: uncultured bacterium
Lineage: Bacteria
Description: bacterial SSU rRNA
Rfam family: Bacterial small subunit ribosomal RNA
Source: RNAcentral
UCCAGACUCCUACGGGAGGCAGCAGUGAGGAAUAUUGGUCAAUGGGCGAGAGCCUGAACCAGCCAAGUCGCGUGAGGGAAGACGGUCCUAUGGAUUGUAAACCUCUUUUGCCGGGGAGCAAGGGCGGGGACGUGUCCCGGCCCGGAGAGUACCCGGAGAAAAAGCAUCGGCUAACUCCGUGCCAGCAGCCGCGGUAAUACGGAGGAUGCGAGCGUUAUCCGGAUUUAUUGGGUUUAAAGGGUGCGUAGGCGGGCUUUUAAGUCAGCGGUAAAAAUUCGGGGCUCAACCCCGUCCGGCCGUUGAAACUGGGGUUCUUGAGUGAGCGAGAAGUAUGCGGAAUGCGUGGUGUAGCGGUGAAAUGCAUAGAUAUCACGCAGAACCCCGAUUGCGAAGGCAGCAUACCGGCGCUCAACUGACGCUGAGGCACGAAAGUGCGGGUAUCGACCAGGAUUAGAUACCCUUGUAA